RNAcentral lists this ribosomal RNA (332 nucleotides) under uncultured bacterium. Its description in RNAcentral is "bacterial SSU rRNA". It matches the Rfam family "Bacterial small subunit ribosomal RNA", at positions 568 to 898 of the family's 1533-position model. The record is from RNAcentral.
UCUGUAGGUGGUUUGUUAAGUUGAAUGUUAAAUCUAUGGGCUCAACUCAUAGACCGCAUUCAAUACUGGCAGACUUGAGGAAGGAAGAGGUAAGCGGAAUUACCGGUGGAGCGGUGAAAUGCGUAGAUAUCGGUAGGAACACCAAUGGCGAAGGCAGCUUACUGGGCCUCUCCUGACACUGAGAGACGAAAGCGUGGGGAGCGAACGGAAUUAGAUACUCCGGUAGUCCACGCCGUAAACGAUGAUCACUAGCUGUUCGAGGUGUCGACCCCUUGAGUAGCGAAGCUAACGCGUUAAGUGAUCCGCCUGGGGAGUACGGUCGCAAGACUAAA